Molecule: long non-coding RNA, 714 nt
Organism: Lonchura striata (white-rumped munia)
Lineage: Eukaryota; Metazoa; Chordata; Aves; Passeriformes; Estrildidae
Source: RefSeq, a predicted model, not a curated record
GAGAGGAGAGGAGAGGAGAGGAGGUUGCUCUGGACGUGGGAGCAGGGAAAAGGGAAAUGGAAGAGAGUGGGAAAUGGAAAAGACACUGUGAAGAUGUUCUUUACAAACUGUCACAAUGCCCUCCACUUAAAUAUUUGUAGAGCAGCUAUGGAACACCAGUGAUAGAGGGGAGGCAACAGAUGGCAGAAUUCAGAACAUUUGUUCUUGGGUUUGCUUCAAAAUCCCUGAGCUCUUUGGACAGUCCAUUCCCAAGCAGCAAGGGAAGGACUGUGGAGAAAAAAUUGGCAUAAUUUUAUCUUCUGCUUUUUUGCAGCUGCCAGCUUACCUGUUGUUUAGUGAAGACAUCACUCCAAGAACCUCCGUGCAGGCUGAGAGCAGCACAUCACAAGGGAAACCCAUGAGAAAAACCUGCUUGGGAUCUGUGUGGUUUCUGUGUGCUCGCUCCUUGAACCUCAAUGCUUUGUGUAGCACCGAGCAGUGACAGAGUUAUGUCAACCUCUCUGCUUCACUGGGCACAUUUGUUCUCUCAAAACCAACACAGCAGCUGGAGGCACUGACAUCUGAAACACUCCUGGCUCCCUGUGCAGCAGAGCCCCUCUUUGGGCUGGGUGGGGAGCACUGAGUGCCUGGCACUGAACUCAAGCCAGAAAAGCAGGUGCUCCAGGAUAAUGAAACCUCAGCCAAAACGAAAAAUAAAAUCCUUGGCUAGGAACA